UAUCUCUGUAGAGUCUGCAUAUCAAUAAGCGGAGGAAAAGAAACUAACUAAGGAUUCCCUUAGUAACGGCGAGUGAAGCGGGAAGAGCUCAAAUUUGAAAUCUUCAAGGUUCUACCUUGACGAAUUGUAGUUUAAAGAAGUGUUUUCUGUUAGAUGAGUAGCAAAAGUUCCUUGGAAUGGGACAUCAUAGAGGGUGAGAAUCCCGUAUUUGGUUAUUCAUUCUAGCUUUGUGAUACACUUUCAAAGAGUCGGAUUGUUUGGGAAUGCAGUCCAAAAUGGGUGGUAAAUUUCAUCUAAAGCUAAAUAUUGGCGAGAGACCGAUAGCGAACAAGUACCGUGAGGGAAAGAUGAAAAGAACUUUGAAAAGAGAGUUAAACAGUACGUGAAAUUGUCAAAAGGGAAGCGUUUGACACCAGUGUUGUUUUUCCGAAGAUCAAUUACGAAUGGCUUGAUUUUGUGUUGUAUUGACCUUAUCAGCUUUCUGCACUUUUUUCGAGUCUUUCUUAAUGCACUUUUCGGUUAACAAGUCAACAUCAAUUUCUUUUGUUGUAAAAGAGUAUUCGGAAGGUGGCUUUCCUUUCGGAGAAAGUGUUUAUAGCCCUAUACUUCUACAAUCGGAGAGAUUGAGGUCUGCAGCGUAGAUCCUUCGGGGUUAGAUACAUUUGUGCUAAGUUGUAGCUUUUCAUAGACAACUUGUUGACUAUGUUUAGUCAUGCGGCUUACUCGCUUAUGCUAUUUUACCUACGCUUAGGAUGUUGACUGAUAUGUAGUCGUA
Molecule: ribosomal RNA, 775 nt
Filed under: uncultured Neocallimastigales
Lineage: Eukaryota; Fungi; Neocallimastigomycota; Neocallimastigomycetes; Neocallimastigales
Description: partial large subunit ribosomal RNA
Rfam family: Eukaryotic large subunit ribosomal RNA
Source: RNAcentral